RNAcentral lists this ribosomal RNA (1320 nucleotides) under Brevibacterium sp. Bio4. RNAcentral's name for it is "bacterial SSU rRNA". It matches the Rfam family "Bacterial small subunit ribosomal RNA", at positions 80 to 1407 of the family's 1533-position model. The record is from RNAcentral. Lineage: Bacteria; Bacillati; Actinomycetota; Actinomycetes; Micrococcales; Brevibacteriaceae.
UUGCUCCGGGUGGAUGAGUGGCGAACGGGUGAGUAACACGUGAGUAACCUGCCCCUGACUUCGGGAUAAGCCCGGGAAACUGGGUCUAAUACCGGAUACGACCGCCGGACGCAUGUCUGGUGGUGGAAAGUUUUUUCGGUUGGGGAUGGGCUCGCGGCCUAUCAGUUUGUUGGUGAGGUAAUGGCUCACCAAGACGACGACGGGUAGCCGGCCUGAGAGGGCGACCGGCCACACUGGGACUGAGACACGGCCCAGACUCCUACGGGAGGCAGCAGUGGGGAAUAUUGCACAAUGGGGGAAACCCUGAUGCAGCGACGCAGCGUGCGGGAUGACGGCCUUCGGGUUGUAAACCGCUUUCAGCAGGGAAGAAGCGCAAGUGACGGUACCUGCAGAAGAAGUACCGGCUAACUACGUGCCAGCAGCCGCGGUAAUACGUAGGGUACGAGCGUUGUCCGGAAUUAUUGGGCGUAAAGAGCUCGUAGGUGGUUGGUCACGUCUGCUGUGGAAACGCAACGCUUAACGUUGCGCGUGCAGUGGGUACGGGCUGACUAGAGUGCAGUAGGGGAGUCUGGAAUUCCUGGUGUAGCGGUGAAAUGCGCAGAUAUCAGGAGGAACACCGGUGGCGAAGGCGGGACUCUGGGCUGUAACUGACACUGAGGAGCGAAAGCAUGGGGAGCGAACAGGAUUAGAUACCCUGGUAGUCCAUGCCGUAAACGUUGGGCACUAGGUGUGGGGGGCAUUCCACGUUCUCCGCGCCGUAGCUAACGCAUUAAGUGCCCCGCCUGGGGAGUACGGUCGCAAGGCUAAAACUCAAAGGAAUUGACGGGGGCCCGCACAAGCGGCGGAGCAUGCGGAUUAAUUCGAUGCAACGCGAAGAACCUUACCAAGGCUUGACAUACACCGGACCGUCCUGGAAACAGGUCCUCUUCUUUGAAGCUGGUGUACAGGUGGUGCAUGGUUGUCGUCAGCUCGUGUCGUGAGAUGUUGGGUUAAGUCCCGCAACGAGCGCAACCCUCGUUCUAUGUUGCCAGCACGUGAUGGUGGGAACUCAUAGGAGACUGCCGGGGUCAACUCGGAGGAAGGUGGGGAUGACGUCAAAUCAUCAUGCCCUUUAUGUCUUGGGCUUCACGCAUGCUACAAUGGCCUGGUACAGAGAGAGGCGAACCCGUGGAGGGCAAGCGAAUCCCUUAAAGCCAGUCUCAGUUCGGAUCGUAGUCUGCAAUUCGACUACGUGAAGUCGGAGUCGCUAGUAAUCGCAGAUCAGCAACGCUGCGGUGAAUACGUUCCCGGGCCUUGUACACACCGCCCGUCAAGUCACGA